GGUGGCUCAGUGGUAGAGCACUUGCCUUGCAUGCAUGAGACCCUGGGUUCAAUUCCUCAGUACCA
RNAcentral lists this transfer RNA (65 nucleotides) under Dipodomys ordii (Ord's kangaroo rat). It matches the Rfam family "tRNA". From Rfam's summary of the family: Transfer RNA (tRNA) molecules are approximately 80 nucleotides in length. Their secondary structure includes four short double-helical elements and three loops (D, anti-codon, and T loops). Further hydrogen bonds mediate the characteristic L-shaped molecular structure. tRNAs have two regions of fundamental functional importance: the anti-codon, which is responsible for specific mRNA codon recognition, and the 3' end, to which the tRNAs corresponding amino acid is attached (by aminoacyl-tRNA synthetases). tRNAs cope with the degeneracy of the genetic code in two manners: having more than one tRNA (with a specific anti-codon) for a particular amino acid; and 'wobble' base-pairing, i.e. permitting non-standard base-pairing at the 3rd anti-codon position. Lineage: Eukaryota; Metazoa; Chordata; Mammalia; Rodentia; Heteromyidae. The record is from Rfam by way of RNAcentral.